UUUGAUAUGCCUAUACUGUUC
Molecule: non-coding RNA, 21 nt
Organism: Caenorhabditis elegans
Lineage: Eukaryota; Metazoa; Nematoda; Chromadorea; Rhabditida; Rhabditidae
Source: Ensembl